CCGCGCAGGGUCAACCUGGACAGAGCUUUCUCCGUUUCUAUCUGCCCUAUGUGUCAGCCUGGGAAUUCUCACAGGAAGUGACAUCGCAGCUUAGGGAUUCUCACAGGAAGUGACAUCACAGCUGUGCUAAUGGAGGCCGGACGUCGGGUGGAGGAGUGCGAUGUCUGCUGCGCUCUCCGGCGGGAAGCGUGAUCAGAGGGCGUGAUGCGCCACCGCGCCAUUCCCGGGAAUAACGCACCGGCGUUCCCGCUCUGCCGUUCCUGCAGUACCAGAGUCCUGCAUGGACACACCGUAUGUUCUUCACGGUCUCACAGGAAGACGUCCUGAACUCACAGACCUCCCUCCCUUAGGUCUCACAGGAAGACGGCCUGAACUCACAGACCUCCCUCCCUCAGGUCUCACAGGAAGACGGCCUGAGCCUCACAGACCUCCCUCCCUCAGGUCU
Molecule: long non-coding RNA, 445 nt
Organism: Conger conger (European conger)
Lineage: Eukaryota; Metazoa; Chordata; Actinopteri; Anguilliformes; Congridae
Exons: 3
Source: RefSeq, a predicted model, not a curated record